RNAcentral lists this long non-coding RNA (1069 nucleotides) under Equus asinus (donkey). RNAcentral describes it as "lncRNA (ENSEASG00005028096.1)". Lineage: Eukaryota; Metazoa; Chordata; Mammalia; Perissodactyla; Equidae. The record is from RNAcentral.
AAACAACAUUUCUACACACACAGAAAACAGUUAUCACAACAAAAUUCCUUACUUUAUGGAGUCACAAAUAACAAAGCGGCAGCUGGAGGACCAGCUCCCCUGGAGUCCGUGGGUUGCUGGAGAGGUGGAAAGAAGAUCUCUUAGGACCCCUACACCUACAAGAGCCUUUGAGACAAAGAUGCAACAAAGAGGCAAAGAAUAACGCAGACAGGAAAGUGAGAGAUGGCUGCUGGUUGGAUCACGGCUGGGAACGCAUGGAUGCGAAUCCAGGCUUGGCUUUAAGAGAGGGAGAGAAUGUGGAUAGAUAACACUUGAUUGAACGAGUAAGAUGUAAGUAGCAAAGGAGACAACCAGAGACACCAAGAGGCGAUCUGUAAGGCUUAGACGAGAGCCAUGUCAUUCAGAGUUCCAAGUCCAGAGCUCACAGGACAACUGGAGGGAAUUGCUGCCUCCAGUAGACACAGACCUCCCUCCUAACUCCACGCAGCAGCCCCCUCUGCCACCUGUCCCCAGAGCCCAGGCCUAUGGUUGGACCGGAUUCGUCACCUGGCUCUACAGGAUACACACACAAAUGGCAGUAAAUGGACCACAUGAAUGGACUGCAGCGAAGAGACCUGAGACAAUUCAUGCCAGUGCAGACUGAGAUGUGCAAGGCAGAAGCAAUUUAGAGAGACUGAAAGAGAAAGGAAGGCCCAGUUAAAAUCCAAAUGGAGAGAAGCACAAUGUAAAAGCAAAUUGGAAAAAGCUGAAGCAACAGAGGGACCCUCAGGAAGAUGGUGAGUGUGAGAAAAAAGCACAGGAGAAAUGUCCUCUGCAACCCAAACCCGCCUCAUCAAAUAGCUCUGGACCCAGUUUUUAUCUUUACAAGUGAUAGCUGGCUGCUGCCAACUGUUUGCAUAGUGUGUACAUUGAAAUAUUUUAUUGUUUUAUGGAUGCAAUAAAAUAAAUGUGAUUAAAGGCAGAAAUCACACUUGAGUUCUGGUGAAGGAGACUGGAAUGCUGGAACCAGGGCUUUAAAAAGCAAAGCAAGGUCUUUUAGUCAGAGAAGAGGAAUCUGUUUCCUGUUCUU